GACGAACGCUGGCGGCGUGCCUAAUACAUGCAAGUUGAGCGCUGAAGGUUGGUACUUGUACCGACUGGAUGAGCAGCGAACGGGUGAGUAACGCGUGGGGAAUCUGCCUUUGAGCGGGGGACAACAUUUGGAAACGAAUGCUAAUACCGCAUAAAAACUUUAAACACAAGUUUUAGGUUUGAAAGAUGCAAUUGCAUCACUCAAAGAUGAUCCCGCGUUGUAUUAGCUAGUUGGUGAGGUAAAGGCUCACCAAGGCGAUGAUACAUAGCCGACCUGAGAGGGUGAUCGGCCACAUUGGGACUGAGACACGGCCCAAACUCCUACGGGAGGCAGCAGUAGGGAAUCUUCGGCAAUGGACGAAAGUCUGACCGAGCAACGCCGCGUGAGUGAAGAAGGUUUUCGGAUCGUAAAACUCUGUUGGUAGAGAAGAACGUUGGUGAGAGUGGAAAGCUCAUCAAGUGACGGUAACUACCCAGAAAGGGACGGCUAACUACGUG
This 497-nucleotide ribosomal RNA is filed under the name uncultured bacterium. RNAcentral's name for it is "partial 16S ribosomal RNA". It matches the Rfam family "Bacterial small subunit ribosomal RNA", at positions 28 to 507 of the family's 1533-position model. The record is from RNAcentral.